This 508-nucleotide ribosomal RNA is filed under the name uncultured bacterium. RNAcentral's name for it is "bacterial SSU rRNA". It matches the Rfam family "Bacterial small subunit ribosomal RNA", at positions 32 to 518 of the family's 1533-position model. The record is from RNAcentral.
AACGCUGGCGGCGUGCCUAACACAUGCAAGUCGAACGGGGAUUUGUUUCGGCAGAAUCCUAGUGGCGAACGGGUGAGUAACGCGUAGGCAACCUGCCCUCCGGCCGGGGACAACACUCCGAAAGGGGUGCUAAUACCGGAUACGAAGUCUGUGCCGCAUGGUACGGAUUUGAAAGAUGGCCUCUGUUUACAAGCUAUCGCCGGGGGAUGGGCCUGCGUCCGAUUAGCUGGUUGGUGGGUAACGGCCUACCAAGGCGACGAUCGGUAGCCGGUCUGAGAGGAUGAACGGCCACAUUGGGACUGAGACACGGCCCAGACUCCUACGGGAGGCAGCAGUGGGGAAUCUUCCGCAAUGGGCGCAAGCCUGACGGAGCAACGCCGCCGUGAGUGAGGAAGUUCUUCGGAACGUAAAGCUCUGUUGUUCCUGACGAACCUCCCCUCUAUCAACAACGGAGGGGACUGACGGUAGGGAACGAGGAAGCCACGGCUAACUACGUGCCAGCCGCCGC